Molecule: long non-coding RNA, 2349 nt
Organism: Betta splendens (Siamese fighting fish)
Lineage: Eukaryota; Metazoa; Chordata; Actinopteri; Anabantiformes; Osphronemidae
Exons: 3
Source: RefSeq, a predicted model, not a curated record
AGUUUCAGUACUUCAUUUAUUAAAGAGCUGCACUUCUGGGCUGUCCAGAAAUGAUGUAUAACAGCUCCCCACUGAAGCUCAUUCCCUGCUCAGUAGAGAGUGCAAGUUCUAGAGGUGAUCAUCUCUCACCAGGCAAAAGACUGUCACAAGUUUAUCGAUCAAUAAUAUGGGUAGUUCUGUUCCACACAACAAUUUGUGUCUACUGAAAGAUAAAUUAUUGCCAUUGCACAUAAUAAUAGGAUUUUGAACAUUAUAAUAUCUAAGGGGUUUUAGGAAAGAGAUAAAGACCAGGCAACUGGGGGAGAAUCCUGGUUUCUUAGUUUGUGUCCGACUGUCGCAGAAAGACAAACACAGAGAGAACAAAGAGAAAGAAAGACACCUCAUCAAAUCAUUAUUGAAACUGCAAGGGAAAAAGGAAAUCGAGGCCUGUAUGUAGUUUGUUAUUUCUUUGUGUGAAUGAAUUGCAGUGGGAGUGCGUUAAUGAGUGAGAGGCUGCCGGCCUGGAGCGGUCAUGAGCUUUGCCUCAGCUUGAUGUUAGGAACUGUUGAAUUUUCCACAUCAAAGUCACACAAGACUGUGCAUAUGUGCACAAAAACACAUAAAUAUAUCUAAUUCUGCACAUAUCCUACAGGCAGUUCUAAUAGUUUGAAAUGAUGAGAGGUUAUAAACUGUUACAUUUUAGGUACAGCAUGAGAACUGAGAGACUAUGAUCCUGCAAAGGUAGAAUUACUGGCAGAGCUACAGAUUUAUACUAAAUUAGCCUGUAGAGGUGUAUAAAAUAAAAUUAACCCUAAAUGUUCUUUGUGACAGAGGCCCCUGGCAUGUUCCUGACUUUCCCUUCAGGACUUAGGAAACAACAUGGAAGACUUACAUUAGGACUAAAAAAACAAUGGGAAGCAGAGUGAGUGGAAGGAAAGGCUCCAGUCCCCACUCUUUUCUGUGGUGGAGGUGGCAGAGGUUUACCCACAGAUUGGAUCAUUUAAAACCUCUGGCAGUGGUUUGACUAAACAGCGGAGCGGCUCGCACUCCUCUCCCAUCUUUAUUCUGCAAAUCCCUCCUUUCGUGUCCUUCGCCGCCGCAGUUUGACUCCCAGUCAUGUAGCCGUGCACUGCACCCCAUACCAACGCGUACACACUGACAUUCUGUUUGACAUUAAUGAUGUCAAAUAUCAUUUGUUGUGCUUGGCCCCAGUUGUUCUCCUUCCUUGCAGGUGGAUUCUCCAGCCUACCUCUCUCAUCCCUGCUGCCGGGUCCACUCCCGCUCUGUAAGCCGCACUUGACAUGCUGGCUGCUUGCAGAGUCCACACAAUUGUCAUUCUUGUCAUUCCUAAAGAUACAGACAAAGAGAUUUGUGUAGCUGUAGGACCCCUCCCUCUGCCUGUCCCUGGCUGCGUUCACCUGCUGGCCUGUCUGCCAACAUGGCUGCAUCAUCUCCUCUCUUUACACAAAUGGCCCCCCAGUAGGGCCAGAUGGCAUCCGUUUAGCAAGCGCCGCUGCUGACUUAUUUCUCUUGUCACUUUUGGAUUUGUCACCACCUAAACUGCUUUUCCCCCCUCUUUGCUUUGGGAUUAUCUACAGUAUCUGACGUUAACCCAGUCAAAACAGGACAACUAGUAGAAUAGUUCCUGAAUGUUUAUAGGUAAUUAACAUUUAUUACUUGCAUUGCAAAUUAUUAUCACUCUCCCCUUUUUGGUGCUGGCCAGUGUUUAGUCUGUGAAUUUAAAAGGUUAUGGCUCAGUUGGGUAAGAUUACAGUAUUUAAUAUUCACGUUAUGGUUUAAAUUUUACAGAAAUGUGUGUUUUCAGUGCUGUUAAUGUGCCGUUGCUGCCUUUCAAGAGAUGCUUUUGUGUGAAUAUUUGUACAUUAGUAAAUCUCUGUCUGCACGUUCUGUGGCAAUGACCCCGACCGUGGAUAAUGUGAAUUUAUAUGGAAGAGGUGUUUUGCAUCUACUGCAUGGUGGCGAUGCACAAACACAAACCCAAUUGAAAAUGUAGGACUGAGCCCAAAUGUGACAGGACGUAACUUCUUUUUGAAUGAAAAUGAAAAAUACUUUAACGACAUCCAAUUUCUAUAACAAAAAAAGUGUUGCAAUUCCGAAAAAAUCAAUUCAGAUAAACAAGAUUGGAGCAUGACCACUGUUCUGCAGGACCUUAUGUUUGCUAUUAUAAAUUGGCACAAAGCAUCGCUGCCUCAGCAGGGUUUGCGUCACCUUCUCUGCUCCUUACUCCCACUCAGCCACAGAUCAGCGAAUGAUGAAAUCACCGCACAAACUCCAAUAAAGAGUCAUCUCAGAAUCUUGGGAAGAGCUCUGGAUGAGUGCAAAUUCAAAGAAAUAGACUGCAUUGAUAAA